Long non-coding RNA from Bactrocera latifrons, 229 nucleotides. RefSeq lists it as uncharacterized. The transcript has 3 exons. The record is from RefSeq and is a predicted model, not a curated record. Lineage: Eukaryota; Metazoa; Arthropoda; Insecta; Diptera; Tephritidae.
UUUUCUUUCUCAAUCAGAUGGAAAAUGUAUUUGAGGAGAUUGCCUUGGAGGACUGCAUCACAUCGUCUUCAACUCCAGCAAAAGGUUGCUUAAUGCAGAGGCCAGCCAUGCAAAACGAUCUGUAGAUGGUAACGACGUUAUUGAUAUGUUAACCACAACAACCACAAGCGAAAUCGCUUCCAUCCUGCCAUUGAACACGCUUACUGAAGCUUUGGAAAUGGACGAAAGA